UGUGAUUGUAAAAGCAACUUUGCACAUCCCACCUCUUAUCUGCACAUGAACAUGUACUUUUAAUAGCGAGCUCGCUGAGCCGCCGUAGGCGGCUCGACAGCUCGCAUUACGUUAACACGUGUAUUGGACUGUAGAUCUACACAGGUUGUUGUUUUGAAAAGUUUGGUAUCUUCGCGCGCAACCGAACCUGAUAUCCGAAACCGGAACUGGAAAUUUUGGAAGGACUUCCCCGUUCGAUGACGUCAUCACAAAAUGUAUCCAAGUAACGAAUGACGUCACCGUUUUGUGUGUACAUAGCAAGUGUCAACACCGACCGCUACUCGCACUUUUUAUUAAAAAUGAUGACAAAACAAGUAAGUGCUAUUAUUUAUUGGACGAUUGCCAUUGAGGAACAAACACGCGAUUGGUUCGGCAUGUACUCAGAUAUCCAAGGUGCCUGAACCACGUGACUUUUUCGGCUAUGUGUGGGACAAUCGGAUGUAAACAAAACGUCGCUUCAGAAUGCCUUUGUUUGCGAACAGUGUGGCAGAGAGGUCAAAACACGGUCGGGGAUCUCCUAACACAAAGCCACCCACGCACGGACAGGAAAAAAGUUCCGUUGGGCAAACUUUUUCUUGUUUGUUUCUAUAAAAUAUAUUGUUACAAAAUGUUGAAUUUUCAGUGAAUUGUUACUGCCGACUAAUGCACUUGUUUAAUACACAAAAUCGUAAGGAUUGUUUGUGCAAGAUGUCAUGUGAAUAUUAUUGCAACAAAACUACAAAAAGUGUUAGUUGUGUGUUUUUUAGCAGGAAUGUGUAGGCAUUUUUGACUGUAACGAAUUUAAUAAAUAAGCAUAAAGAGAUCAUAAGCAUUUUUAAACAAAUAGACACUAGGAUCAAUGACAUUUUUUUCUGGAAAAUCAUGUAUUUGUAUGUAAAUCCUAUUGAGCUAUCUAAUAUAUCACACAUGCUAUUUUUUAAGUUUAACAGUUUAUAUCAGUUGUAUUUUGUUCUUUUCAGGGAGAUUAAAGUAUUUUUGGAAGCACCUUCAAGAGACGUACUGAUAUCUUGAUCAAUGAAAAGUUGUCAUAUACAAACAUGUAUAGUAAAUGUUCCAAAGUUUAAAUGACUGUUUGAUUUAUUACCAGAUGGUGCAAGUAUUGCAGGGAAAGAAAACAAUCAAAGUAAACAUUACAUAAAAAUUUGACAUUUCAACAAAUUGAACAACAUUAUAUGAUUUAAUGUUAAUUACUUGGUGCAGUGGUAACAAGAUCUUGCAGCGCCCUUUCAUGACCGGGGCGAAUGGGUAUUUUCAUUAAACAUCUCAAACUAUUGUCAGUUAUUCAGCUUUCAUUUGAAUUUGAGUAAAUUAAGUAUUGAUGCAAUUCAAUAUGUUUGUUGGCAUAAUGACCCCCACAAGUCAAGACGUUUUGGCGAUGAUCAUUUGUUAUGACUUAAUUGAAGCAUUCAUAUGUUUGAAUAGCAAGAUUUGCAAAUUCAUAAAUUGACUGAUUACAAUUUCUUUGUGAAUACUAAUGUACUUCUUUAUGUAUUUGGCGCUUUAAUUUCUAUUGUUACAUGUGCAUGCUAGUUAUAAAGUAAUGGUAUUAUUAA
Molecule: long non-coding RNA, 1592 nt
Organism: Dreissena polymorpha
Lineage: Eukaryota; Metazoa; Mollusca; Bivalvia; Myida; Dreissenidae
Exons: 4
Source: RefSeq, a predicted model, not a curated record